UGGGGAAUAUUGGGCAAUGGGCGCAAGCCUGACCCAGCAAUACCGCGUGAAGGAUGAAGUAUUUCGGUAUGUAAACUUCGAAAGAAUAGGAAGAAUAAAUAACGGUACUAUUUAUAAGGUCCGGCUAACUACGUGCCAGCAGCCGCGGUAAUACGUAGGGACCAAGCGUUGUUCGGAUUUACUGGGCGUAAAGGGCGCGUAGGCGGCUUGACAAGUCACUUGUGAAAUCUCUGGGCUUAACCCAGAACGGCCAAGUGAAACUGUCAUGCUAGAGUGCAGAAGGGGCAAUCGGAAUUCUUGGUGUAGCGGUGAAAUGCGUAGAUAUCAAGAGGAACACCUGAGGUGAAGACGGGUUGCUGGGCUGACACUGACGCUGAGGCGCGAAAGCCAGGGGAGCAAACGGGAUUAGAUACCCAAGUAGUCCCUGAGCGGGCUGGCAAGGCGCAU
Molecule: ribosomal RNA, 447 nt
Filed under: uncultured bacterium
Lineage: Bacteria
Description: bacterial SSU rRNA
Rfam family: Bacterial small subunit ribosomal RNA
Source: RNAcentral